GUACACGCUGUGACUAGCAUAUCAAUAAGCGGAGGAAAAGAGCUAGCGGAACUGAACGGACCGCUACCUACGCUUAGGAUGUUGACGAGACUGUCGAUCUCGUCUAUACAUGACUCUGUGCAUAUCAAUAGCGGAGGAAAAGGAACUAACAAGGAUUCCCUUAGUAACGGCGAGUGAAGCGGGAAGAGCUCAAAUUUGAAAUCUUCAAGGUUUUACCUUGACGAAUUGUAGUUUAAAGAAGUGUUUUCUGCUGAAGUUUUGGUAAAAGUUCUUUGGAAUAGGACAUCAUAGAGGGUGAGAAUCCCGUAUUUGACCAUUAUUUUCAGCUUUGUGAUACACUUUCAAAGAGUCGGAUUGUUUGGGAAUGCAGUCCAAAAUGGGUGGUAAAUUUCAUCUAAAGCUAAAUAUUGGCGAGAGACCGAUAGCGAACAAGUACCGUGAGGGAAAGAUGAAAAGAACUUUGAAAAGAGAGUUAAACAGUACGUGAAAUUGUCAAAAGGGAAGCGUUUAACACCAGUGUUGUUUUCUGAAAAUCAACCUCUGUUAGCUUUAUGCAUGUUUGUUUAGACCUAAUCAGCUAUCUUUCAUGUUCUAUUGUUUGCAGUGGUGCACUUUUCAGUUUACAGGUCAACAUCAGUUUUUUUUACCGUAAAAAAGUUAAAGAAAGGUAGCUCAUGGCUCCGGUCGUGAGUGUUAUAGUCUUUUUCCUAUGCGGUAGGAGAGACUGAGGUCUGCAGUGUAGGCUAUUUGGCUAGAUACUCAGGUGCUAUGUGAUACCAUUUCAUAAACAACUUGUUGAUUAUGUUUUGUCUAUUGCAUACUCGCUUGUACUAUCAUACCUACGCUUAGGAUGUUGAGUAGCGACAUACGCAC
Molecule: ribosomal RNA, 873 nt
Filed under: uncultured Neocallimastigales
Lineage: Eukaryota; Fungi; Neocallimastigomycota; Neocallimastigomycetes; Neocallimastigales
Description: partial large subunit ribosomal RNA
Rfam family: Eukaryotic large subunit ribosomal RNA (bases 95-873)
Source: RNAcentral